GGGGGAUGGGAUCGGUCGCUCGUUUUGGCAAGUCGAGCGGUAUAGAGCAAUAUAUUGUUUUCUCUUGAGAGCGGCGGACGGGUGAGUAUUGCCUAGGAAUCUGCCUGGUAGUGGGGGAUAACGUUCGGAAACGGACGCUAAUACCGCAUACGUCCUACGGGAGAAAGCAGGGGACCUUCGGGCCUUGCGCUAUCAGAUGAGCCUAGGUCGGAUUAGCUAGUUGGUGAGGUAAUGGCUCACCAAGGCGACGAUCCGUAACUGGUCUGAGAGGAUGAUCAGUCACACUGGAACUGAGACACGGUCCAGACUCCUACGGGAGGCAGCAGUGGGGAAUAUUGGACAAUGGGCGAAAGCCUGAUCCAGCCAUGCCGCGUGUGUGAAGAAGGUCUUCGGAUUGUAAAGCACUUUAAGUUGGGAGGAAGAGCAGUUACCUAAUACGUGAUUGUUUUGACGUUACCGACAGAAUAAGCACCGGCUAACUCUGUGCCAGCAGCCGCGGUAAUACAGAGGGUGCAAGCGUUAUUCGGAAUUACUGGGCGUAAAGCGCGCGUACGUGGUUAGUUAAGUUGCCCGUGAAAUCCCUGGGGUUUUUAACCUGAGCGGCGUUCUCUCCUGACGGACUAAAUUAUGGGAUAGGGUGGCGCCUAUAAAGAUCUCGGCGCCCCCCAGGUAGUUGACAACUUUUAAAG
This 689-nucleotide ribosomal RNA is filed under the name Pseudomonas veronii. Its description in RNAcentral is "bacterial SSU rRNA". It matches the Rfam family "Bacterial small subunit ribosomal RNA", at positions 31 to 720 of the family's 1533-position model. The record is from RNAcentral. Lineage: Bacteria; Pseudomonadati; Pseudomonadota; Gammaproteobacteria; Pseudomonadales; Pseudomonadaceae.